UACGUAGGGGGCUAGCGUUGUCCGGAUUUAUUGGGCGUAAAGAGCUCGUAGGCGGUUUGUCGCGUCUGCUGUGAAAACUCAGGGCUUAACCCUGAGCCUGCAGUGGGUACGGGCAGACUAGAGUGUGGUAGGGGAGAUCGGAAUUCCUGGUGUAGCGGUGGAAUGCGCAGAUAUCAGGAGGAACACCGGUGGCGAAGGCGGAUCUCUGGGCCAUAACUGACGCUGAGGAGCGAAAGCAUGGGGAGCGAACAGG
This 253-nucleotide ribosomal RNA is filed under the name uncultured bacterium. RNAcentral describes it as "partial 16S ribosomal RNA". It matches the Rfam family "Bacterial small subunit ribosomal RNA", at positions 524 to 776 of the family's 1533-position model. The record is from RNAcentral.